CAGGGAAUGCUUUUGCUGUUGGUUGGAGAGUAUUUGGAUUUCUAGGCUCGUGAGCCACUGCAUAUGGUUCUUCAUGAAUUGUUGAGUCUGAACAUAGUUUCAUGGAACAGGCUCUUCUGGAGCACAUGCUGGCCUCACCAUCACUACAUAGCCAAAAUUGGCUUGAAUGUUGCUCAUCAUGCUGCCACUUUCAAAAAUUUUAUAAUUAGUAUGGGCUCAUCUUUAUGAGAUUCUACUGAUUUUCCCCUUUAAAAAAUGUGUGUAAGCUGACUUUGGAGGGCUCUGAUCAGGCAGGGCACAGCUAAGUUGAUUGUGUCUAGAUGUGUUGUAUGCAUGUCUGUGUUAGGCCAACUGAUUUUUCAAACUUCAACCUCAAUACAGCAAUAGUAAGAUUUUGGAACUCACAAGUAGUAGAGACUUGCUACAGUGCAGAACAUGUGGCCUUUAGCAAAGGGAUCUAUAGAAUGAUUUCAUGCUAUUUUUUGACUAUCUUAGAAUACCUCUACAGUGCCAAUUAAAAACAACUCUGUUAUGCAAUCUGCUACCUUGCUCUUGCCAUGCCAACAUUAAGAUGCACAAGCAAUCAAUUUCUGUUGUUUGUAAGGAGACAACUAAAGCAUAUUUUGAGAGUAGAAGGGCCUAUGUUGCCAGGAUACUGCUUCAUCUUUCACAUCUCUUGUUUAUAGUGUCCUGGCUGACAGGUAUUUCCUUGGUCAUGUUAAACAUGUCAGCCCCCUGUCCAUGGAUCAUGGGCUUUGGUGAGAAGACUCAGGCCUAAUAAGGACAUGGGAUGAAUGGUGUCCUCUUCUUUGCAGCCCCACAGAUUAUGGUUUCACACCCUGGGGCACUACAAAAAAACAAUAUUUUGUCAUAACUCCCAACUUAGUAAGGAGCUAACGUCCUUUACCAUCCAUUAAUCUUAUUUUAAAAAUAACAAACUGAAUACUUUGAGUAUAGACAUGAGUUACUAAAAACUUAUAAAAGCUGGAUUCCAAGUGAAAAACAAAACACUCUCCAUCUACUAGCUAGUGUGUACCAGAGCACAUACAUGAGGACAGACAAAGCUCUGGAGUUCAUUGACAUUCUUAGGAUUUCCGGUUUGAUGUUUAACAUGGAAAGGGUCUGUAUUAAAGUUUCAGUGUCAAAGUUCCCACAGAGUGUCCAGUGUUUGAAUGUUGUUCCCACCCAGUGUCACUUUUUGAGGAAAGUUAAGGGCCUUGGGCUGUGGGCCUAGCAGAAAAAAACAAUGGAUCAAUGGACAAUAUUGGAAACAAACAUUUGAGUGUAAGCAGCCCUCUACUGCCCCACUGAGGAAGAAUCUUGGAAACAGAAAGCCAGAAGAACCAAUGGGCUCUGCCCAGCCACCAUUGGUCCAUUUUUGCUCCGACUUCACAAAGAAGCAUCGUAGGACGUCAUAGAUACCUGUUCACUUACAGAUCUGCCUGAGACUGUCUCCUGUACCUACAGUACUGAAGUUGGCAUUUGGUUGAAAAGCUACUAGAGUCCGAUGCUGAAAGAUUCUACUGGAACUUCCAGGAGCUGUUAAACAUUGACAUAGUGCAUUUAUCUCCACUUUGGAAAGUCAGCAAUGUGAAAUCACUUGACCAUCCUAACUUUAUCAAGCUGUUUCACAUGGUCAGACAAGAGAAAACACCUACCAGUUGAAGGAUAAUGCCUCGGAUGGAGAGAUACUAGAACAAGUCAUUGAAGGUGGGGGUCUUUAAAGGAAAGUCUCUAUGCAAGGUUCAAAGGAUGUUUGCCGUGAUAGUACAUGCUGUGCAGUACUGCCAUGACCAUCACAUUUUCCACAGAGACAUAAAGACCAGCAAGCUGUUAAUCGACAGCAGUAGGAACGCCAAGCUGUGUGAUUUUGACCUGGG
Long non-coding RNA from Rattus norvegicus (Norway rat), 1880 nucleotides. The record is from Ensembl. Lineage: Eukaryota; Metazoa; Chordata; Mammalia; Rodentia; Muridae.